AGAGUUUGAUCCUGGCUCAGAAUCAACGCUGGCGGCGUGCCUAACACAUGCAAGUCGAACGCGAAAGUCCCGCAAGGGAUAAGUAGAGUGGCAAACGGGUGAGUAACACGUGGGUGACCUGCCUUCGAGCGGGGGAUAACGUCCCGAAAGGGACGCUAAUACCGCAUGACAUCCUGCCUUUGAAGAGGUGGAGAUCAAAGCCGGGGAUCGCAAGACCUGGCACUCGAAGAGGGGCCCGCGCCUGAUUAGCUAGUUGGUGGGGUAAUGGCUCACCAAGGCGACGAUCAGUAGCCGGCCUGAGAGGGCGGACGGCCACACUGGGACUGAGACACGGCCCAGACUCCUACGGGAGGCAGCAGUGGGGAAUUGUUCGCAAUGGGCGCAAGCCUGACGACGCAACGCCGCGUGGAGGACGAAGACCUUCGGGUCGUAAACUCCUUUCGAUCGAGACGAAUGGCCUCCGGGUGAACAAUCCGGAGGAGUGACGGUACCGAGAGAAGAAGCCCCGGCUAACUCCGUGCCAGCAGCCGCGGUAAUACGGGGGGGGCAAGCGUUGUUCGGAAUUACUGGGCGUAAAGGGCUCGUAGGCGGCCAACUAAGUCGGACGUGAAAUCCCUCGGCUUAACCGGGGAACUGCGUCCGAUACUGGAUGGCUUGAGUUUGGGAGAGGGAUGCGGAAUUCCAGGUGUAGCGGUGAAAUGCGUAGAUAUCUGGAGGAACACCGGUGGCGAAGGCGGCAUCCUGGACCAAUACUGACGCUGAGGAGCGAAAGCCAGGGGAGCAAACGGGAUUAGAUACCC
Molecule: ribosomal RNA, 800 nt
Filed under: uncultured bacterium
Lineage: Bacteria
Description: bacterial SSU rRNA
Rfam family: Bacterial small subunit ribosomal RNA
Source: RNAcentral